RNAcentral lists this ribosomal RNA (934 nucleotides) under Trichoderma harzianum. RNAcentral describes it as "bacterial SSU rRNA". It matches the Rfam family "Eukaryotic small subunit ribosomal RNA", at positions 246 to 1116 of the family's 1831-position model. Lineage: Eukaryota; Fungi; Ascomycota; Sordariomycetes; Hypocreales; Hypocreaceae. The record is from RNAcentral.
CAGACUCGAGUCUCGUCUCGCACAGCCCUGGUUGCCGGCCGAAUGCCUCAUUCCAAAUUCCUUCCCCUUAUCAACUUUUCGAAUGUUUUGGGUAUUUGGCCCAAACAUGGUGGCAACGGGUAACGGAGGGUUAGGGCUCGACCCCGGAGAAGGAGCCUGAGAAACGGCUACUACAUCCAAGGAAGGCAGCAGGCGCGCAAAUUACCCAAUCCCGACACGGGGAGGUAGUGACAAUAAAUACUGAUACAGGGCUCUUUUGGGUCUUGUAAUCGGAAUGAGUACAAUUUAAAUCCCUUAACGAGGAACAAUUGGAGGGCAAGUCUGGUGCCAGCAGCCGCGGUAAUUCCAGCUCCAAUAGCGUAUAUUAAAGUUGUUGUGGUUAAAAAGCUCGUAGUUGAACCUUGGGCCUGGCUGGCCGGUCCGCCUCACCGCGUGCACUGGUCCGGCCGGGCCUUUCCCUCUGCGGAACCCCAUGCCCUUCACUGGGUGUGGCGGGGAAACAGGACUUUUACUUUGAAAAAAUUAGAGUGCUCAAGGCAGGCCUAUGCUCGAAUACAUUAGCAUGGAAUAAUAGAAUAGGACGUGUGGUUCUAUUUUGUUGGUUUCUAGGACCGCCGUAAUGAUUAAUAGGGACAGUCGGGGGCAUCAGUAUUCAAUUGUCAGAGGUGAAAUUCUUGGAUUUAUUGAAGACUAACUACUGCGAAAAGCAUUUGCCAAGGAUGUUUUCAUUAAUUCAUGAACGAAAGUUAUGGGAUCGAAGACGAUCAGAUACCGUCGUAGUCUUAACCAUAAACUAUGCCGACUAGGGAUCGGACGAUGUUACAUUUUUUGACGCGUUCGGCACCUUUACGAGUACAUCAAAAUGCUUGAGCUCCAUGGGGAAGUAUGGUUCGCUAUGGCUUGACACACUUCGAGCACUAAGACUCUUCUAACA